AUGGAGGCGGCUAUUGGCGCAGCAGUUCGCUCCGCGAUUGGGGCCGCAGGCAGGCUCAUCGGCAGUGUGGUGAAUAAGCUCUCUGAUAAGUUGGUGGAGGCGUAUGUUGCCAGCUCUGAGCUCGGCCUCAACUACAAGAAGAUAAAACAGGAUCUCAUGUUGACGCAAGGGCUGCUGCAUGAGGCCCAGAGGAGGGGGGUGAGCGACAAUCCUGGUCUGCAGGGGCUGGUGCAGCAGCUCAGCGGCAAGGCCGACGAGGCUGAAGACACCUUGGACGAGCUCCACUACUUCAUCAUCCAGGACCAGCUUGACGGCACCCAGUACGCGGUGCCGGAUCUGGGCGAGGGCCUCCGUUGUCAAGCACAACACGGUGGCCAUGGUGUUCGCCACACUGUCGGUAAUUGGAUUCCCUGCUUUUCUUGUUGCCGUAAAGAAGUGGAUGAUUCUGCUGCUGUUACCAAGAACCCACAUAAACCAACCAACCCUGGCAAUGGUAAUGAUGCUCCCGUUCCAGUUGAUAAGCUUCAGUUUGACAGAGUGGCCAUGUCCAAGAAAAUUAAGUCUGUGAUAGCAUAG
This 576-nucleotide ribosomal RNA is filed under the name Triticum aestivum (bread wheat). RNAcentral's name for it is "partial small subunit ribosomal RNA". Lineage: Eukaryota; Viridiplantae; Streptophyta; Magnoliopsida; Poales; Poaceae. The record is from RNAcentral.